GCAUGGCUGAAUCCUGUGUUUUUAUCCAUAAUCUACACAGCCAGACACCAUGCCACCCAGCACCGUUUCCUUUAAUGUACUCGCGGUGUGCUGUGUCUUCUUCAUGGCGUAUCAUCUGUACAGGUGAACAUAAAG
Echinops telfairi (small Madagascar hedgehog) is the source of this 135-nucleotide small nucleolar RNA. The record is from Ensembl. NCBI's taxonomy places the organism in Eukaryota, Metazoa, Chordata, Mammalia, Afrosoricida, Tenrecidae.